This 73-nucleotide transfer RNA is filed under the name Salmo salar (Atlantic salmon). It matches the Rfam family "tRNA". From Rfam's summary of the family: Transfer RNA (tRNA) molecules are approximately 80 nucleotides in length. Their secondary structure includes four short double-helical elements and three loops (D, anti-codon, and T loops). Further hydrogen bonds mediate the characteristic L-shaped molecular structure. tRNAs have two regions of fundamental functional importance: the anti-codon, which is responsible for specific mRNA codon recognition, and the 3' end, to which the tRNAs corresponding amino acid is attached (by aminoacyl-tRNA synthetases). tRNAs cope with the degeneracy of the genetic code in two manners: having more than one tRNA (with a specific anti-codon) for a particular amino acid; and 'wobble' base-pairing, i.e. permitting non-standard base-pairing at the 3rd anti-codon position. The record is from Rfam by way of RNAcentral. Lineage: Eukaryota; Metazoa; Chordata; Actinopteri; Salmoniformes; Salmonidae.
UCCCAUGUGGCUCAGUUGGUAGCACAUGGUGCUUGCAACACUAGCGUCGUGGGUUCGAUUCCCACAGUGGAAA